This is a long non-coding RNA of Pogoniulus pusillus (Red-fronted tinkerbird), 733 nucleotides long. RefSeq lists it as uncharacterized. Lineage: Eukaryota; Metazoa; Chordata; Aves; Piciformes; Lybiidae. The record is from RefSeq and is a predicted model, not a curated record. The transcript is spliced from 3 exons.
AUUCCUGGAAAUGCAAUCAAAGUACAAUUUCAAAAGCAUAUCAAAGACACCACAAUCCACAAACUACUGUCAACUGAGCCCCCAGUAAUGUUUUCCUCAGAUGUUCUUUUUCCUGGCAGAGACAUGAGAAUGAAAAGCAACAGGCCCAAGUAGAAUCAAGAGGUGUUCAGACUGGAUAUAAGGAGAAACUUUUGCAUGGAUAAAGCCAUCAGCUAGAUCAUCAGCUGAGAUGUGGUUGGGCUUCUUUUUAUUCGCCUGCUCAUCUAUCCCACGCAUGCGACGGAGUCGAUCUGCCUGUGGUUUAGAAGGAACACCACACAGAGCUUGGAGUCAUCUAGAUCAGCUGGGUAACUACACCAGAGUGGAAGCUGUAGCUAAGAAAAAAACCUCAAACCCAACCAAACAAAAAUGCAAAGGGCAAUAAACUUAACUAGAAUUACUCAAAUUGUAGAGAAGAAAAGCCAGAGACACAAGAACUUCUGGGCAAAAGCUGGUGACACCUUAUUUCUUGUAGGGAGUGCAUCUGGUAAGAGCACAUAGGCAGCUGCAUGAGCUUGUCUCCAAGGCUUGCACACUGGGUUUGCCAGAAUUGGUUUGUUCUCUCCUUUUAAAAUGUCUCUGCUUUGCCUAUGAGAAAAUGCAUCAUCCCCAGGAAAUACAAGCUUCUGUAUUGCUUUAUGAUUCUGCAGAGCUUGUGCUUUCCAUACAUGUAACAAGUCUCUGGCAAACACAA